Molecule: ribosomal RNA, 320 nt
Filed under: uncultured eukaryote
Lineage: Eukaryota
Description: partial 18S ribosomal RNA
Rfam family: Eukaryotic small subunit ribosomal RNA
Source: RNAcentral
CCCUUAGAUGUUCUGGGCUGCACGCGCGCUACACUGACACACGCAACGAGUCUCCUGCCCUGACAGGGUCGGGUAAUCAUUUGGGUGUGUGUCGUGAUGGGGAUAGAGUAUUGCAAUUAUUGCUCUUGAACGAGGAAUUCCUAGUAAGCACAAGUCAGCAGCUUGUGCUGAUUACGUCCCUGCCCUUUGUACACACCGCCCGUCGCUCCUACCGAGGGGGUGAUCCGGUGAAUGAUUCGGACUCUGGUGCUUCUAGCUGCUAGAUGCGCCGGAGGAAGUUUUGUGAACCUUAUCACUUGGAGGAAGGAGAAGUCGUAACA